RNAcentral lists this ribosomal RNA (253 nucleotides) under uncultured bacterium. RNAcentral's name for it is "partial 16S ribosomal RNA". It matches the Rfam family "Bacterial small subunit ribosomal RNA", at positions 524 to 776 of the family's 1533-position model. The record is from RNAcentral.
UACGUAGGGGGCAAGCGUUGUCCGGAUUUAUUGGGCGUAAAGAGCUCGUAGGUGGUUUGUUACGUCUGCUGUGAAAACCUAGGGCUUAACCCUGGGCCUGCAGUGGAUACGGGCAGACUAGAGGUAGGUAGGGGAGAAUGGAAUUCCCGGUGUAGCGGUGAAAUGCGCAGAUAUCGGGAGGAACACCGGUGGCGAAGGCGGUUCUCUGGGCCUUACCUGACGCUGAGGAGCGAAAGCGUGGGGAGCGAACAGG